This is a long non-coding RNA of Manis pentadactyla (Chinese pangolin), 1635 nucleotides long. RefSeq lists it as uncharacterized. NCBI's taxonomy places the organism in Eukaryota, Metazoa, Chordata, Mammalia, Pholidota, Manidae. The record is from RefSeq and is a predicted model, not a curated record. The transcript has 2 exons.
UUUUUUUUGACUUCUCGACUGUACAAACCUAGAGGGUUCCAGCUUCGCCCCAACCCUGAAGACCGUCCCUUCAUUCGCCCUCUGCCACCUUGCGGGGGUCUUAGCCCCCUCAAACCCUGGCCUUCCCACGCGCUUGAGGGGGUUUGCCCUCGCCUCCGCCCCUGCCUCCAAAUCCCUUUUUAACAUACCACAUUGUCCCGCAGAACACAAGGACGAGAAAUUGGGGAGGGUGAGGGGAUCCGGAGGCCACAGCCAGCAAUCAGGGCCGUCCCUCCGCCCGGCAAGGACACACACGUCGCGAGCCCGGCCUGAAAUGUGUUUCAUUAUCACAUAAAAGGCUCCCGUGGCGAAGGAGCCGAGAGGCAGGGCCGGGGGCCGAGUGGGGGACAAUGGAGACUGAAAGCGCUGCCCUAACCUGCUAUGUUUCGUAUCGCAAGCUCAUUGUGCGAGGGUCGUUUUAAACUACUUAGCGAGCCCCCCACCACUGAUCCCGGCCGAUAAGAUAUAGUUCUGUCCGAAUACAUAAAAAGGAUGUCGGGGAGCCCGGCGCUUUCAGAGGCUUUUCUGUGCCUCUUGUGCCUUUCACACUCCGCUCCCGCCUCCGCCCCUCCCCCAGCCCGGGCGCCCAGCUUGCGGCUCGCACGGCGCCCUCCGCCCGUCGCCCGGACUCUUAAGUAUUGUAAGGUGUAGAGAUUCUGUUUUCCUCCCUCUCUUUUUCUUCUUUCUUUUCCCCGCGCUGUCCGCGCGCCGGUUUAAGCAACCGUGAUCUGUGAAUAAACAAAGUCAGUAAACAACCGAAAAAAACAUUGUAGAUCCGAAUUCCAGGAGGGUAAACUUUCCAUGCCACGUCACACUUCAGCAAAUUUGCACAGAUAUUAUAUUGCCUCCCACCUCCCUUCUUUUUUUUGCCAGGAUCCCAUUGUACUUAACUGAAUUUUAUAACGCUGAUCGAUAUCUUGGUAAAAUAUUCAUUUUUAAACUAGCGGGCAGUGAAAUCUUUGCUUUGUGUGCUAAAGUCAACAGUCGCUCCGUUUGAGCUUAAAUAAAUGCGCGGAUGCCUCGGCUCGGAGCAGUCGGCCGCCUCCCUCCGUGCUCAGGACGCUCCGCCGCCCGCCGGCCGCAGCGCAGAUUAGCUUAUUCAUGGCUACUGGAACAAAAAGAUGAGAAGAAGGAAGGACAUUUGCUUUCCUAAGCGCCCCGUGUGACGAGAGUCCACGCACUUCUCCCCACGCUGAACUUGACUAUCACAAGAGUGUCCCCAGAAGGCCAUAACCCUGCUGUCAGGUUGCUCCUGGAGGCUUUCCUCAGUUUGCAAUGAAUAUCAACUGAGUAACGAGACACAAAAGCAGGCUGUUAAUAGAGGGGCGAUGGUCCAAGUCCAGAUGGGUGUUGUGGAUGCAUACAGAGCUCGCAGGAUCAGGGAAGAGGGAGCAUGAAAAUCGAGAUGGGAAGACUUGGGUGGAACCACCAGACCAGCAACCACUAGAAUCUGUCAACACAAGGAUACUAAAAUGUGAAGUGUUGAUUUGUUCUGCUUCACAAAUUUGGGUUGUGACAGUCAAGUUGACCAAGUGGCAUUUAACCCCCCUGGAAGUUACUAAAGCUUAUGAUGAAUAAACAAUGAUGAGCAGCCAA